UCACGUCUUACGACGGCAGUUUCACUAGAGUUCCCAGCGUUACCUGAUGGCAACUAGUGAUAGGGGUUGCGCUCGUUGCGGGACUUAACCCAACACCUCACGGCACGAGCUGACGACGGCCAUGCACCACCUGCGCAGAAGUCCCUUGCGGGAGGUUCUCACUUUCGUGAGAAUUUCCUCUGCAUGUCAAACCCAGGUAAGGUGGGGAUGACGUCGUAUCUCACUG
This 226-nucleotide unclassified non-coding RNA is filed under the name uncultured bacterium. RNAcentral describes it as "contains 16S-23S intergenic spacer region". The record is from RNAcentral.